Nicotiana attenuata is the source of this 1396-nucleotide RNA transcript. It is a transcript of the gene named importin subunit alpha-1a-like, with no coding region annotated. The transcript has 4 exons. NCBI's taxonomy places the organism in Eukaryota, Viridiplantae, Streptophyta, Magnoliopsida, Solanales, Solanaceae. The record is from RefSeq and is a predicted model, not a curated record.
GGAUUGCUCGACGAGCAUUCUCCUCUUGAGUGAUCUGAGUACUCUCGGCUCAGAUGCCUUUGAUCGAACAGAAGGAUGGUAUGCCUGCCUACAGUAAUUCAUCCUCUACUUGUUCACUAUGGCUUGAGAGCUAAUCGCAAGAAAGAGUCAGAGAUUGAAAAGAGGAUCACUGGACUCAAGAGGCAGAGCACCUUAGAUCUUUGUUUGUUUUGUGGUAUAAAACAAUGGACUCAAGAGGCAGAGCACCUUAGUCGGAGAAGCUGUUCCUGCUUACCCAUAAACUGUGAUAGCUAUUUUGCCCUACUUAGCCACUAUGCUCCAACUAUAAUAUCAGUUACAGAAAAAUUAAAAAAUCCUUCAAAACAUCCCAAUAUGGUAAAAUUCAAGCUAUUAAGAUCACCCUUUCCAUAAUGUGGUCAUCCCAAUAAGCUUACCUCAAAUGUGAUAGGCAAAACUGCUUAAAAUGCUUAUUAACUGGAAGACGAAAUCACACUUUGGAAAAAAGAAGAGCUUUUUAUGUGAUUGGAGUAUUGAACUAUAGCUACACUACAAGCAGGUGAUUGUGAUUGUCUUCUUGACCAUGGCGCUUUGAUUCCUUUGCUGAACAAGUCAAAGGAGGCGAACAACAAUUUUCCGAUGCAGAGUAAAGCCACGAGAAUUUUGUCACUGAUUUGUAAAAGCAAGCCGGAUCUUCCAUCUGAGCAGUUCAAUCCUGCCGACCUUGGUUGCCUGGUGACGUUGCUUGAUAACCACAACGAGGACGCAGAUGUGGUCACCGACAUUUGCAGCAUUAUGGCAUUGUCAAGCGUGGGAAUAUGGAGGCUGUGAUUGCGGAUGGAUUUAUGAAAAAACUGGUCAAUUUGAUUCAAACUCUGAAGGUUGGUAAGUCAGACCCUGAUCGAGUAGAAGAAAUCAUUUAUGUUGCUGCCGCAACAAUUAAUAUUGCUAUUGCCAGUGGGAAUGAUGCUCAGAUCAAGUACUUGGUGGAUAUCUCCUGCAUAGAGGUUCUAUGUGAUUUUAUUGCUUCAUGCUGUAGUGAAACAUUUAUGAGGGACAGUCUUGAAAGUUUAGAGAAAAUCUUGGAGUUUGGGGCUCCGUCUAUUGACUAUGCUCGCCGGAUUGAAUAGAAGAUUAAAAGCAUUCACUCUAGCAGUUCGCCUAGGCAAGUAGCGUUCUAUUUUGGUGAGUUUUUGCGGAAAUUGGACAAGUAUUUGGGAAUGAGUAAGCGGAUGGAUCUCAAGGACAUGUUUUGAGUCUUAUUUACAUUCUGUUAUCCAAGUACCCUGUAGAAUUAUAGAUUUAAAGUACCUUGAAAUUCUACGCACAAUUCAGUGUAAUUCAGUUAACUAUCUAAGUUUGUUGUUGAGAAUAUGAUAAAUCCAGUCCAAGAAUCUAA